UUUUGUGGGGUGCUCGAGUGGCGAACGGGUGAGUAACACGUGAGUAACCUGCCCUUGACUUUGGGAUAACUUCAGGAAACUGGGGCUAAUACCGGAUAGGAGCUCCUGCUGCAUGGUGGGGGUUGGAAAGUUUCGGCGGUUGGGGAUGGACUCGCGGCUUAUCAGCUUGUUGGUGGGGUAGUGGCCUACCAAGGCUUUGACGGGUAGCCGGCCUGAGAGGGUGACCGGCCACAUUGGGACUGAGGUACGGCCCAG
This 255-nucleotide ribosomal RNA is filed under the name uncultured Actinomycetales bacterium. RNAcentral's name for it is "partial 16S ribosomal RNA". It matches the Rfam family "Bacterial small subunit ribosomal RNA", at positions 78 to 334 of the family's 1533-position model. Lineage: Bacteria; Bacillati; Actinomycetota; Actinomycetes; Actinomycetales. The record is from RNAcentral.